Long non-coding RNA from Dermochelys coriacea (leatherback sea turtle), 2273 nucleotides. RefSeq lists it as uncharacterized. Lineage: Eukaryota; Metazoa; Chordata; Testudines; Dermochelyidae. The transcript has 4 exons. The record is from RefSeq and is a predicted model, not a curated record.
ACAGGAAUCCUCUCUCUUUUAUGGCCUGUGUAGGGCUAGCCACAAUGGCAGUCCUUUCUCUAAAGGGAGUACAGGGACUGCUCUCUCCAUCUGCCCCAGAGGGGAGAAGAUAGAGUCAUAGUCUUCUUCUACAUAUGCCCAUAGGCCAGUCAUGCAGGGGAAAAAACAGGAUCCCUCCAGCACCUGAUUGAAUACCAGAUUAGUUGAAAAUGAUAAUAUGAUGAUGAUAGUACCUACAAUUAUCACUGCAUCUUUUCUACAAGCUUCAAAUCCUCAGUUUUAGGUUGCUGGGUUUUUCGUUGAGGAAGGAUUUGUGGAAGAAAUGUCAUCAACCCACCUCCCCUGCAAAAUGAAAUGGAAAACAAACUGGAAAACUGGUCUCCCUCCUCUGAUGUCCUUAAUUGCCAGGAUGACAGUAUCUCCUGGCUUGCUGUUCUCGCCUGUCAGGUCUUUUCAAAUCACUUAACAUUUACUGGAACAAUUCUACACUGCCGGAUUUGCUGCUCAUCCAGCGUGGUGUUUGUAUCACAGCUGCUACACCAGAGUCAUCUCAAUAAGAAGAAACGUUUCUCACCACUUCAUUAGUACACAGCAGCAUGAAAAUAAUAAUUUCCUCUGAAAAUAAAAUACCACAAACCUUUCAUCUGGGGGAAAAAUCAUGAAAAAAGUAAUCUUGUUUUUGUUUGGGAGCUGAAAUGUUUGUGGUCAUUAAGGUAAACUUACAAUCUGUAGUUGAUUCAAUUAAAAUGUGGCAGAAUUUGUGAUAUUUUUGUAUACUUUUUCCAAAGCUGGUUGGAACAUUUAGACAAACUGAAUAAUGAAAGAUCAGAAUAUUAAAAAAUCACGGAGCACAGGAGUUUCAGGGCCAUGUCUAACCUCAACCCUUUACAGACAGGAAAGAAAAAUACAUCUUUUUUUCAAAUACUUUUGGCUUUCUAUAGCUAUUUAACCAUAUUGUUCUACUGAGCAAAUGAAAAAUAACUAGACACUAAAUAAAUAAAUAAAUAAAAGUACACUAGAAAGUGUACCUACGAGGGAAGGCACAAGACUUCAGUUAUGUCUCGCAAGGCAACAGUUUUAAUGGAAAGCUUGUUUUCUGGCUAUGUUGCAAAAUAAUGUAUGUUAUUUGUUGGGCAAUAUUCAAUUAUACACCAUUUAAGGCUAGAUCCUAGUCACUGUUACACAUGUAGAGUAGCAGCUUACUCCAAGAAUUCAUUGACUAUUUGCUGAGUAACCUGCUACCCAAUAAGAAUAAAUAUCUAGAUCGAAUAACAUGAAUAAGGGGAGCAGAAUCUGCCUCUUGGAUGUUACAACAGUGAGGCCCCAGUCUUGCAUUUUACAACAUGUGGACAAACUGAUGAGCCCACAUGGAACCCCACUGAAGAAAAACAAUUAGUUCACAAACUGUUACAAGUUGCAGGACAGGGACCUUAGUUCUUAAAACAAGAGAGAGCCAUAUUCUCCCCUAUUCUAUUUUAAUUCCCAUGAUGUCACAUAUUAAAGAUGUUCAGUAAAGUAUAUGAUGAUGUCACAACUCAGAAGACAUAAAAAUAUUGCAGGGAACCUCUCAAGUGGCCCCUGCAGUUCCAAUUAUAAAAUUCACCUUGCUUUGUAUUUAAUUUGAAGAGUUCAGUACAGAUCUAAUUAAAUGUUAAUACAUCAUUAAAAUGAUUUGUAAUAAGUAUAUUCAAACCAGGGUGAGUAUGAUAUGCUCUUUAUGAAGCCCAGACCUAGCUGGGAUCCUUCAGGUUGAAAACUCAUUCUUCAUAACAAACAGCAUUCUGGUAAUAUUAAUGACAUACACAAAUGUGAUCAAAAUAUUUGAUCUUGGAAACAAUUUUAACAUUUGUGGGAACUAGAUAUUUGGGCAUUUUUUUCUGGUUGACAUUAUUCUAUGAGGGAAUAUUCCUUUAAAAGGCUUUGACUUUUUUUUUUUAGCAGAAAAAAAAAAUAGCCUUUCUACAGAAUUAAUGAAGCUGGCUUUUUAGCCUAGGGUAAAAAGCUAGCUAAUGAAGUCAUUCAUCGUGACAGCCCAUGGUCUGAAUUAUAUGAAUUAUUGCUUAUUAAUGGGAUUAAUUGUUUCUCAUGCUAUAAUACAAAAUGUAUGCACAUCUCCAAAAUAUCUAGGUUUAUAAUCUGAAACAGAAAAGGGGGGGAAGGAGUGUAUUAGUUAUAUGAACCACUUCCAUUUCUGAAUUUAUGUGUGUCAUGUAGGUAAACUUUAUCAAGAAAAUACAUAAAGUAAAGUGAGGCGUGUAAAAAUGAAGAUAAAG